Molecule: long non-coding RNA, 1661 nt
Organism: Dioscorea cayenensis subsp. rotundata (Guinea yam)
Lineage: Eukaryota; Viridiplantae; Streptophyta; Magnoliopsida; Dioscoreales; Dioscoreaceae
Exons: 4
Source: RefSeq, a predicted model, not a curated record
CUCUGUAUCUUUAUUCAUCUUUUUUCCUUUUCUCAAGGGAGUUUUGUCAGUUUCCUUGAAGCUUUGACUGGUAAGAUGUCCUGUUAGGCUGCCCAUGCUUUAGAUCUAUGACAUUGCUGACUGCGGGUUGUGAGAAUGAGUGCUAUAUGACUGAGAGAUGAGUAAGCAAUCUGCAUGCCAGGCCUUUCUGAUUUGUAGCUGAUUCUGGGAAUAUUUUGGGGCUCGGAGUGCUUGUAAUCUCUAGGAAUAAUGUGAACUUGUUGACUCAGUGGUGACUUUUGUGUGAAGCGAUUGAAACCAUAAUCAUGAAAGAAAAAAGAGACCUUGAUUCCUUGUCCCAGCCCAUUGGUUUCAAAAGCGGCUGGGUUAAUUUGAUAAAGUUCUUGUGAAUGAUUUGAUUUUUUUAAUCAUAGAACUACUCUUUGAAAAUACUAAAGCCCGAAAAGACCCCAUUGGCUAUAGAUUUUCAAUCAUAUCUCAACUGAACAAAUUAUGCCUUCACCUUUGCUGCAUUGUGAAUCAAAUGAUCCAUGAUACUGCAAUUCUUUGAACAUUUGUUCAUAGAUUUUGGGACUAUGGUCAUAUAUUUCAAAGAUUUAAAUUACAAUCUGUAUGUGAGAGGGUUCAAUUAUAUUCUUUUUCACUAAUGGAUGCAUUUUUCUAGUUUUGAAGUACAAGUAAGCAGAUGAUGAUAAUUUAGAGAAUGAGGCUUACAUGAGAGCCAAAUAGGUGAAUAUAAUUCCAUUCCUAAAUUGUUGUUCAUAACUUAUCAGAUAACAAUUGUAAAAGUGGAAGGCUCAAGCAGAAGCCUACAUGAUUGAUUGUUUCUCCUCUAAGCAUGGAUAUUUUGAACUUGAAUAUACAACGCAGAGCUGGAAGCAUGCUAGAGAUAAUGAUUAGCUUUCUUUAUGAAUGUGCACCUUUCCUUUGUUAUAAAGCCUACCAUUCCUUUUAACUUGGUCACAGAGCACUAAGUGCUGUAUUCAUGGAGGUGAUGGAGCUGAAGGUGAAUCUACAUUGCAAGGCAUGUGAAAUGUCAACAAGGUGUUAUCCAAGCUCAAAGGGGUGACUUGUGUAGACAUAGAUGUGGUAUCGAAUAAGGUAAUGGUCAUGGGCUAUGUUGAUCAGAAGGCAGUCAUCAAAGCUGUUAGGAAAACCGGCCGCCAAGCUGAGGUCCGGCCGUCACCACACCGUGAUUCCAAGAUCUUAAAGAUGAGGUCUUCCGACAUUACCUCGAGAUAUGGCUAUCCUGCAUCACCUUCUAGAGUUUCCAUGAAGAUGCAUAGAGCCUCUCCUUCAAGCUUGCCAAAGCCAUCAAAAGAGAAGCAAACACCGAAAGCUCUUUGUAGAAUAAAACACUUGUUAUGCAUGAGACCUCGUACUGUUGAUGAAGAGCCAAUGUAUACGAAGAUGCCAUCUAAGUUAGGGUUUCAACGUGAUAGAACUUCUGAUUUUGGUAGACCAUAGGUUAUAUAUACUUACACAUGUAUACAAAUGUAUGUGUGACUUGUAUGAUGUAUUGUUGUGGCUUGUCUAUUGUUGAUCUGUUGGUUUGAGCAAGUUUGUUGUGAUUCUACUCAGUGUGGAACUGGCGGGAAAAUUUCCUUGUAAAAGUUUAAAAUUACCUUGCAAAACUAUGGAGAUUAAUUUUCUUUAACGUU